CAGGGCUGCACACGUACUACAUUGAUCAACUCAGUAGGCGUCGUGUUAGUUCUCCAAUAACGUAUCUAGUGGACUUGGUGUCGGGUAUGUGGCCUCGGUCAUGUACUUUGAUUACUGUCACUUUAAACACUGGUCGUUAGACUCGUGCAAUCCAAUAGAAGAGGUGAAUAAGUUUCCCAAAGUACCGUGUUUAGCUCCCGUGUUCGUAGCGACCCCUCGCAAAUGCCAGUCGAUGUGGGUCCUUUGUGCUUUUUUCAAUUCUUAGUGGGGACAGACAUCUGUUAACUUUUUGUCUCGGUCCCA
This 303-nucleotide ribosomal RNA is filed under the name Globigerina bulloides. RNAcentral's name for it is "partial 18S ribosomal RNA". The record is from RNAcentral. Lineage: Eukaryota; Foraminifera; Rotaliida; Globigerinidae.